Molecule: small RNA, 95 nt
Filed under: Enterobacter hormaechei subsp. xiangfangensis
Lineage: Bacteria; Pseudomonadati; Pseudomonadota; Gammaproteobacteria; Enterobacterales; Enterobacteriaceae
Description: RtT sRNA
Rfam family: RtT RNA
About the family: This family represents a bacterial cis-regulatory element known as RtT RNA.
Source: RNAcentral
CAAGGUUCGAUUCGAGCGUAGCGAGAAAGCGUUGCCGCAGGCAACGACCCGAAGGGCGAAGCGCGAAGCGCUGAGUAAUCCUUCCCCCACCACCA